Long non-coding RNA from Sinocyclocheilus grahami, 457 nucleotides. RefSeq lists it as uncharacterized. Lineage: Eukaryota; Metazoa; Chordata; Actinopteri; Cypriniformes; Cyprinidae. The record is from RefSeq and is a predicted model, not a curated record. The transcript is spliced from 5 exons.
UAUCAAAUGUUCUGCUUUACAGGGUGCCAAAGGGGAAACAGGACCAGAUGGUGAAAAGGGGGCAGUAGGACGUAAAGGAGAGAAGGGUGCUAAAGAGGAUAAGGGAGACGCUGGAUCUCGUGGUGACAAAGGGCAGCGUGGGGUGAAGGGUGGUUUCGGUCGUGAUGGGCUUCCUGGUCCUAUUGGACCUCCAGGUCUUCCAGGUCCCAGAGGAGAUGAAGGCCCUAGAGGAGACCAGGGAGUGAAAGGACAGAGUGGGCCGAAAGGAGAGCUAGGUGAACCUGGUCCAGGACUGACAGAUGAGCAGAUAUUGCAGCUGUGUCAAGGUGUGGUCACCGCUCAGAUCUCCCAGUAUGCUUCAUCUAUACGUGCCAAAUGCGUAUAGGGCUGUCCAAUCAACAACUGUACCCUCAUCGGACCCCCAGGAGUCAGAGGAUCUCCUGGAAGUCCAGGAAAA